Drosophila melanogaster (fruit fly) is the source of this 326-nucleotide non-coding RNA. The record is from Ensembl. Lineage: Eukaryota; Metazoa; Arthropoda; Insecta; Diptera; Drosophilidae.
UCUGCAUCUGUAUACUCGUAUUUUUAUCAUUACUGUGAGAACCACAAGCCACAAGUGGACGAGCCCUGGUAAUCGACCAAUCCGCGAGCUCUAAACAAUGGCCAUGGAUUAUCGCACGCAUUUAUGCAUGAUGAUGACAGAUGACGCAGUGCGUCAGGAGAUAUGUUCCAAGAAGACUAAGAAAUGAAACCAAUUAAAUACGGAUCACCACCAUCUGCUGCAAAGUCGCCGUUUUGAUGCCCCAGGCUUUACAAAUCACGUAUACGCAGCGUAAACGUGAGUUAUUAUAGAUGGAACUACUUUCUGAUCUAAAGAUUUAUUUUCAU